GCUCAAAUUUAAAAUCUGGCGCCUUUCAAGCGUCCGAUUUGUAUUCUACAGAACUGUUUUCCGUGCCGGACCGUGUCCAAGUCCCUUGGAAGGACGUAUCAAAGAGGGUGACAAUCCCGUACUUGACACUACAACCGGUGCUCUGUGAUACCUUUUCUACGAGUCGAGUUGUUUGGGAAUGCAUCUCAAAAUGGGGGGUAAAUUCCAUCUAAAGCUAAAUAUAGGCGAGAGACCGAUAGCGAACAAGUACCGAGAGGGAAAGAUGAAAAGCACUUUGGAAAGAGAGUUAACAGUACGUGAAAUUGUCGAAAGGGAAACGCUUAAAGUUAGACAUGCCUGCUGGGAUUCAGCCUUGCUUUUGCUUGGUGUAUUUCCCAGUGUGCAGCCCAGCAUCAGUUUUGGCUGUCGAUAUAAGGGUUAGUGGAAUGCCUCCCUUCGGGGUGUUAUAGACUCUAACUGGAUAUACUACCCGGCACUGAUGAACUCCGCGUGCCUUUAUGGAGGGUCUUCUAGCGCCUUUACGCUUACGGCCUUGCACAAAUGACCAUCUACCACCCGUCUUGA
RNAcentral lists this ribosomal RNA (564 nucleotides) under uncultured Sympodiomycopsis. Its description in RNAcentral is "eukaryotic LSU rRNA". It matches the Rfam family "Eukaryotic large subunit ribosomal RNA", at positions 107 to 657 of the family's 3401-position model. Lineage: Eukaryota; Fungi; Basidiomycota; Exobasidiomycetes; Microstromatales. The record is from RNAcentral.